CCUACGGGCGGCAGCAGUGGGGAAUAUUGGACAAUGGGGGCAACCCUGAUCCAGCCAUGCCGCGUGUGUGAAGAAGGCCCUCGGGUUGUAAAGCACUUUCAGUGAGGAAGAACGCCUGGUGGUUAAUACCCAUCAGGAAAGACAUCACUCACAGAAGAAGCACCGGCUAACUCCGUGCCAGCAGCCGCGGUAAUACGGAGGGUGCGAGCGUUAAUCGGAAUUACUGGGCGUAAAGCGCGCGUAGGUGGCUUGAUAAGCCGGUUGUGAAAGCCCCGGGCUCAACCUGGGAACGGCAUCCGGAACUGUCAAGCUAGAGUGCAGGAGAGGAAGGUAGAAUUCCCGGUGUAGCGGUGAAAUGUGUAGAGAUCGGGAGGAAUACCAGUGGCGAAGGCGGCCUUCUGGACUGACACUGACACUGAGGUGCGAAAGCGUGGGUAGCAAACAGGAUUAGAUACCCUUGUAGUC
This 465-nucleotide ribosomal RNA is filed under the name Vreelandella stevensii. RNAcentral's name for it is "partial 16S ribosomal RNA". It matches the Rfam family "Bacterial small subunit ribosomal RNA", at positions 338 to 795 of the family's 1533-position model. Lineage: Bacteria; Pseudomonadati; Pseudomonadota; Gammaproteobacteria; Oceanospirillales; Halomonadaceae. The record is from RNAcentral.